RNAcentral lists this ribosomal RNA (253 nucleotides) under uncultured bacterium. RNAcentral describes it as "partial 16S ribosomal RNA". It matches the Rfam family "Bacterial small subunit ribosomal RNA", at positions 524 to 776 of the family's 1533-position model. The record is from RNAcentral.
UACGUAGGGGGCAAGCGUUGUCCGGAUUUAUUGGGCGUAAAGAGCGUGUAGGCGGCCAUACAGGUCCGUUGUGAAAACUGGAGGCUUAACCUCCAGACGUCGAUGGAAACCGUAUGGCUAGAGUCCGGAAGAGGAGAGUGGAAUUCCUGGUGUAGCGGUGAAAUGCGCAGAUAUCAGGAAGAACACCGGUGGCGAAGGCGGCGACCUGGGUCGAGACUGACGCUGAGGCGCGAAAGCGUGGGGAGCGAACAGG